This 484-nucleotide ribosomal RNA is filed under the name uncultured bacterium. Its description in RNAcentral is "partial 16S ribosomal RNA". It matches the Rfam family "Bacterial small subunit ribosomal RNA", at positions 30 to 507 of the family's 1533-position model. The record is from RNAcentral.
AUUGAACGCUGGCGGCAGGCCUAACACAUGCAAGUCGAGCGGAUGAAGGGAGCUUGCUCCUGGAUUCAGCGGCGGACGGGUGAGUAAUGCCUAGGAAUCUGCCUGGUAGUGGGGGAUAACGUCCGGAAACGGGCGCUAAUACCGCAUACGUCCUGAGGGAGAAAGUGGGGGAUCUUCGGACCUCGCGCUAUCAGAUGAGCCUAGGUCGGAUUAGCUAGUUGGUGGGGUAAAGGCCUACCAAGGCGACGAUCCGUAACUGGUCUGAGAGGAUGAUCAGUCACACUGGAACUGAGACACGGUCCAGACUCCUACGGGAGGCAGCAGUGGGGAAUAUUGGACAAUGGGCGAAAGCCUGAUCCAGCCAUGCCGCGUGUGUGAAGAAGGUCUUCGGAUUGUAAAGCACUUUAAGUUGGGAGGAAGGGAAGUAAGUGAAUACCUUGCUGUUUUGACGGUACCAACAGAAUAAGCACCGGCUAACUUCGUG